Molecule: long non-coding RNA, 2316 nt
Filed under: Homo sapiens (human)
Lineage: Eukaryota; Metazoa; Chordata; Mammalia; Primates; Hominidae
Description: HSALNT0290758
Source: RNAcentral
AAGAAACAGUCUCACUGUCACCCAGACUGGAGUUUAGUGGUGUGAUCAUAGCACACUGCAGCCUCAGACUCCUCCUGGCUCAAGCAGCCCUCCUGCCUCAGCCUCCCCAGUAGCUGGGACUAUGGACUCAUGCCACCAAACCCAGCUAUUUUGUGUUUUGCUCUUGUUGCCCAGGCUGGAGUGUAAUGGUGCAAUUUCGUCUCACUGCAACCUCUGCCUCCCGGGUUCAAGCGAUCCUCCUGCCUGAGCCUCCCAAGUAGCUGGGACUGCAAGCAUGCACCACCAUGCUCAGCUAAUUUUUGUAUUUUUAGGAGAGACGGGGUUUCACCAUGUUGGCCAGGCUGGUCUCAAACUCUUGACCUCAUGAUCCACCCGCCUCGGCCUCCCAAAGUGCUGGGAUUACAGGAGUGAGCAACCUCGCCUGGCCAAGUUCUGUUUGUACUCGUUUCCAUUAAUGUAAGCAGUAUUCUUGGAGGUCAUGACUGUGUAUAAUAAAUUCUUAUCUGUUUGCAGAGCCUACCACUGAUGUUUUGCAGAGUAAUGAAAAGAAAUGGUAGAUUGAGAUCUCAUUCUUUGGUUUAUUCAUGGUGGUGUCACAGAACCCCAGUGUAUUUAACAGAGCCCUAAAGUAUAUGACUUUGUGGCACCUGAAUUGUAUUAUGUAUGAGAAACUGAUAUAUUUGCAAGAUAGCAAAUGUAAAUAGGAGCUAGAUAAUAUAAGAAUCCUAAUAGAUACCCAAAAGACUCUGUUGGCUGGGUGUGGUGGCUCAUGCUUGUAAUCCUAGCAUUUCAGGAGGCUGAGGCAGGAGAAUCAUUUGAACCCAGGUGUUUGAGACCAACCUGGCUAACAUAAGGAGACCCUGUCUCUAUAAAAAAUAAAAAAUUAGCCAGGCAUGGUGGCAUGCGCACAGCUAUGGCCCUAGCUACUUGGGAGGCUGAGGUGGAAAGAUCAGUUGAGUCUGGAGUACAGUGGCACAAUCGUAGCUCACUGCAACCUCAAACUCCUGGGUUUAGGGGAACCUCCUGCCUUAGCUUCCCAAGUAACUGGGAUUACAGGUACAUGGCACCACACUGAGCCAAUUUUUUAAAUUUUUUUAUAGAGGCAGGGUCUCGCUUUGUUGCUCAGCCUGGUCUCAAACUCCUGGGCUCAAGCAAUCCUCCUGCCUUGGCCUCCUCGAGAGUUGGGUUUACAAGUGUGAGUCACCAUGCCCAACCCACACUAGGAAGUUGAGACUCAUUGCUUAAGAAACUUGGCCGGGUGCGGUGGCUCACGCCUGUAAUCCCAAAACUUUGGAAGGCUGAGGCUGGCAGAUCACUUGAGGUCAGGAGUUCGAGACCAGCCUGGCCAACAUGUUGAAACCCCAUCUCUCCUAAAAAUACAAAAAUUAGUCAGGCGUGGUGGCACAUGCCUGUAGUCCCAGCUACUCAGGAAGCCAACACAGGAGAAUUGCUUGAAUCUGGGAGGUGGAGGUUGCAGUAAGCCGAGAUGGCGCCACUGCACUCCGGCCUGGGCGACAGAGCAAGACUCCAUCUCAAAAACAGCAACAACAACAACAACAAAAAACGAAACUUGCUCAAGGUAACUAAAAUGUAGAUUUGAAUCCAGUAUAACCGAAAACUCACUGUUGCUCACAUUCUUACCACCUUCAUAGCUAUCACCCUACUAUACCAAGCCACUUUUCAUCUCUUUCCCAGAUUGCCCUGUUCACCUGACCAGUCAGCCUAUUUCUCCAUACAAUCCAUUUUCUACCCAAUCGCUGAAAUGUACCUUUUAGAACAUAAGUCAUACCCAGUCAUUUUUCUGCUCUAAACUCUCUGAUGGCUUCCCAACACAUCUGGGAGCAGAAAUGCCUAACCAUGGUUUAACUUACUCUGGCCCCGUUCUCUGUUUUCCCACCACUGUCACUUUCAUUCUAGCCAUUGGCCUGUGUGCUGUUCUUCAGAUAUGUUGAGUGUACUCCCAUCUCACAUCUCAUGGCCUUUUGUACCUGUUCCAUCAACUUGGAAUGCUCUUUCUUCAGACUUCUUUUUUCUUUUCUUUUUUUUUUUUUUUUUUGAGACAGAGUCUUGCUGUGUUUCUCAGGCUGGUCUAGAACUCCUGGCUGGCCUCAAGUGAUACUUCUGCCUUGGCCUCCCAAAAUGCUGGGAUUAUAGGCAUGAGACACUGCCCCCUCACCUUCCUCAGGUUUUUACUUAAUUUUCUCUUAGAUCUCAGCUCAAAUUUACCCCUGUAGGGAAGCCCUCCUAGUGAAAACUCAGCCCCAUCAUUUAGCCCCUUUUUCUGUUUUUUCCUUCUUCUUAACAUUUAAUACCUCU